This 436-nucleotide ribosomal RNA is filed under the name uncultured Cellulomonas sp. RNAcentral describes it as "bacterial SSU rRNA". It matches the Rfam family "Bacterial small subunit ribosomal RNA", at positions 945 to 1382 of the family's 1533-position model. Lineage: Bacteria; Bacillati; Actinomycetota; Actinomycetes; Micrococcales; Cellulomonadaceae. The record is from RNAcentral.
AUUAAUUCGAUGCAACGCGAAGAACCUUACCAAGGCUUGACACACACCGGUAACGCCCAGAGAUGGGUGCCCCUUUGUGGUCGGUGUACAGGUGGUGCAUGGUUGUCGUCAGCUCGUGUCGUGAGAUGUUGGGUUAAGUCCCGCAACGAGCGCAACCCUCGUCCUAUGUUGCCAGCGGGUCAUGCCGGGGACUCAUGGGAGACUGCCGGGGUCAACUCGGAGGAAGUGGGGAUGACGUCAAAUCAUCAUGCCCCUUAUGUCUUGGGCUUCACGCAUGCUACAAUGGCCGGUACAAAGGGCUGCGAUACCGCGAGGUGGAGCGAAUCCCAGAAAGCCGGUCUCAGUUCGGAUUGGGGUCUGCAACUCGACCCCAUGAAGUCGGAGUCGCUAGUAAUCGCAGAUCAGCAACGCUGCGGUGAAUACGUUCCCGGGCCUU